This 483-nucleotide ribosomal RNA is filed under the name Enterococcus faecalis. RNAcentral describes it as "bacterial SSU rRNA". It matches the Rfam family "Bacterial small subunit ribosomal RNA", at positions 67 to 521 of the family's 1533-position model. The record is from RNAcentral. Lineage: Bacteria; Bacillati; Bacillota; Bacilli; Lactobacillales; Enterococcaceae.
CGCUUCUUUCCUCCCGAGUGCUUGCACUCAAUUGGAAAGAGGAGUGGCGGACGGGUGAGUAACACGUGGGUAACCUACCCAUCAGAGGGGGAUAACACUUGGAAACAGGUGCUAAUACCGCAUAACAGUUUAUGCCGCAUGGCAUAAGAGUGAAAGGCGCUUUCGGGUGUCGCUGAUGGAUGGACCCGCGGUGCAUUAGCUAGUUGGUGAGGUAACGGCUCACCAAGGCCACGAUGCAUAGCCGACCUGAGAGGGUGAUCGGCCACACUGGGACUGAGACACGGCCCAGACUCCUACGGGAGGCAGCAGUAGGGAAUCUUCGGCAAUGGACGAAAGUCUGACCGAGCAACGCCGCGUGAGUGAAGAAGGUUUUCGGAUCGUAAAACUCUGUUGUUAGAGAAGAACAAGGACGUUAGUAACUGAACGUCCCCUGACGGUAUCUAACCAGAAAGCCACGGCUAACUACGUGCCAGCAGCGGCGGG